GGGAGAGUGGCUGAGUGGUUAAAGGCGACAGAUUGUAAAUCUGUUGAAUUCGUUCUACGUAGGUUCGAAUCCUGCCUGUCCCA
Molecule: transfer RNA, 83 nt
Filed under: Trebouxia sp. A1-2
Lineage: Eukaryota; Viridiplantae; Chlorophyta; Trebouxiophyceae; Trebouxiales; Trebouxiaceae
Also listed under: 3 other names
Description: tRNA-Tyr
Rfam family: tRNA
About the family: Transfer RNA (tRNA) molecules are approximately 80 nucleotides in length. Their secondary structure includes four short double-helical elements and three loops (D, anti-codon, and T loops).
Source: RNAcentral